This 271-nucleotide ribosomal RNA is filed under the name uncultured bacterium. RNAcentral describes it as "partial 16S ribosomal RNA". It matches the Rfam family "Bacterial small subunit ribosomal RNA", at positions 30 to 301 of the family's 1533-position model. The record is from RNAcentral.
AUUGAACGCUGGCGGCAUGCCUUACACAUGCAAGUCGAACGGCAGCACGGGGGCAACCCUGGUGGCGAGUGGCGAACGGGUGAGUAAUACAUCGGAACGUGCCCCGUAGCGGGGACAACCAGUCGAAAGACUGGCUAAUACCGCAUACGCUCCACGGAGGAAAGCAGGGGAUCGCAAGACCUUGCACUAUGGGAGCGGCCGAUGCCCGAUUAGCUAGUUGGUGAGGUAAAGGCUCGACCAAGGCAACGAUCGGUAGCUGGUCUGAGAGGAC